AAGGUUGAUGAUGACGAUCUGAUUUCUUACCUUUUGGCGGGGCUGGACAUUGAAUACAAUCCAUUGGUGGCUUCCGUUCUUGGGAGACCAACAGCUGAUCCAAUUACCCUCAAUGAAUUGUAUGCACAACUCCUCAGCUAUGACA
This is a non-coding RNA of Triticum aestivum (bread wheat), 145 nucleotides long. Lineage: Eukaryota; Viridiplantae; Streptophyta; Magnoliopsida; Poales; Poaceae. The record is from Rfam.